RNAcentral lists this ribosomal RNA (486 nucleotides) under uncultured bacterium. RNAcentral describes it as "partial 16S ribosomal RNA". It matches the Rfam family "Bacterial small subunit ribosomal RNA", at positions 899 to 1397 of the family's 1533-position model. The record is from RNAcentral.
ACUCAAAGGAAUUGACGGGGACCCGCACAAGCAGCGGAGCGUGUGGUUUAAUUCGAGGCUACGCGAAGAACCUUACCAGGGAUUGACAUGCACGUAGUAGGGAAGCGAAAGCAGACCGACCCUUCGGGGCGCGUGCACAGGUGAUGCAUGGCUGUCGUCAGCUCGUGCCGUGAGGUGUUUGGUUAAGUCCACUAACGAGCGCAACCCUUAGCGCCAGUUAUACGUGUCUGGCGCGACUGCCGGUAUCAAGCCGGAGGAAGGUGGGGAUGACGUCAAGUCAGCAUGUCCUUUAUACCCUGGGCGACACACACGCUACAAUGGGCCGUACAAUGGGUUGCCAAGCCGCGAGGCGGAGCCAAUCCUGCAAAGUGGCCCUCAGUUCGGAUCGCAGGCUGCAACUCGCCUGCGUGAAGUCGGAGUUGCUAGUAACCGCGGGACAGCUAUACCGCGGUGAAUACGUUCCCGGGUCUUGCACACACCGCCCGU